This 246-nucleotide ribosomal RNA is filed under the name uncultured bacterium. RNAcentral's name for it is "partial 16S ribosomal RNA". It matches the Rfam family "Bacterial small subunit ribosomal RNA", at positions 524 to 770 of the family's 1533-position model. The record is from RNAcentral.
UACGAAGGGGGCUAGCGUUGCUCGGAAUCACUGGGCGUAAAGGUGCGUAGGCGGGUCUUUAAGUCAGGGGUGAAAUCCUGGAGCUCAACUCCAGAACUGCCUUUGAUACUGAGGAUCUUGAGUUCGGGAGAGGUGAGUGGAACUGCGAGUGUAGAGGUGAAAUUCGUAGAUAUUCGCAAGAACACCAGUGGCGAAGGCGGCUCACUGGCCCGAUACUGACGCUGAGGCACGAAAGCGUGGGGAGCA